AAUGCACGCUUACGCAGGUGCCCACGGCAAGUCUGCUCGCCACCCGUUUUUUUCCUCCGCCUCUGGAAGCACAUCGUUUCUUUCUCAGUGUCUCGCCUGUGCGCAUUGCAGGUGUGACUCUCCUCCAUCCCCCUUCGUUGUGUGACCGUUACGCAGCCCGUUACCGGUCACUCCUGUGCACUCACACUCGCACGGUCACCUUACUGCCCCCUUGUCGACAUGACCAAGUCGUACCUCAGCCCGGACCAGCAGCUGCGGGCGCAGCAGGUGUAUACGACGCACAAGCACCUGAAGGAGCUGAACAUGGCCACCAAAGAGGCUCUGAUAUAUCACGACAAGUACAUUGCCGCUAUGGAGAAAGUAAUAAGCUGCCUCUUGAACAACAGCGACGCCAUGGAGGACGCGCGGAAGCACCUCGCUCAGGAGGCGGCGGUGGACAUUCAGCCCACGUCUCCGACGGCUGGCCGCCUCGCCGCUGCGUACAGCAACUGGCGCGUCUCUGCCGAGCUGCACAUGAUGCGAACGGAGCUGGAGUUUCUAAAAGAGGUCAGCACCACUGGCCGUGAGGCAGUCAAGAAGACGAAGAAUGCCGUGCACGGACUGGAAAAGGUGGCGAAGAAGUGUGCCCACGUGAACUCGCCGGAGUUCGAAGCCAAGAUCUCCAACAAGUCUGCCAAGGCGCUGGAGAAGCUGUUGCAUGAGCAGCGGGAAACAAAUACGAUGAUGAUGAGCAUGGAGAAUGCCAUUAAGAACGACAUGAUGUCACUCGCGACGUCAUGGUCUGCGAAGCUUGUAACUCGCGGUGACGCACUCUACACAGCCUUUCGGAGCCUUGGUUGUAGAACAGUGGCUUGUUUUCCGACCACUGCCCUGACCCUGCCGCAAAGGAUGCCUCCCCCUACAGCUGGAUAUGUGCUGCCGCCGCCAUCCUCCGCCAGCACGUCGGAGUCGUACAGUGGGGGCAACGCAGUCGGCUAUGGUACCCCCUCCGCCUACCCAGCAGCCCAGGGUGCUGAGUGUGCGGCAGUGCCUCUCAGCUCAGCAGGUGAAGGUGCAGCUGAAGGCGUUACGCUUGAGUUUAACCUGAACGAAGGCAAACCCGUGUCGCGGUAGAUGAGCGAGUAGUCGAGCCACCAGCGAAGACGAAAGUGGCAGAGAGGGAAGGAGGAUGGUUGGGCUUAACAUUGGCGUCGACAUGUUGUUCCUUUAUGCGUGUGUGGCACGUUCAGCUAUAGUGUCCACUGCGGUUCCUCCACACGGUGCAAUCCGCGUCACGGGAGCGCCACCACAUCGCCUGGGCGUCUCUGCUGCUUCAUCCUAGAGACGAUCUCCACCAAAGGGGGGAGGAGGUGCCCUCUCCGACAGUCCGAUCUCGGCCGUGCUGCUUGUUGCGUGCUGUCGCAAAGGCGGUAAAGUGCUUCGUCCGCCACUGCUUCUUGUCAAUGUUGUUGCCUAUCGGUCUUUCC
This 1466-nucleotide unclassified non-coding RNA is filed under the name Leishmania donovani. Its description in RNAcentral is "gene:LdHU3.31.1140(CDS-product:hypothetical_prote in_conserved)". The record is from RNAcentral. Lineage: Eukaryota; Euglenozoa; Kinetoplastea; Trypanosomatida; Trypanosomatidae.